GAUGAACGCUGGCGGCGUGCCUAGUACAUGCAAGUCGAGCGAACGGACGAGAAGCUUGCUUCUCUGAUGUUAGCGGCGGACGGGUGAGUAACACGUGGAUAACCUACCUAUAAGACUGGGAUAACUUCGGGAAACCGGAGCUAAUACCGGAUGAUAUUUUGAACCGCAUGGUUCAAAAGUGAAAGACGGUCUUGCUGUCACUUAUAGAUGGAUCCGCGCUGCAUUAGCUAGUUGGUAAGGUAACGGCUUACCAAGGCAACGAUGCAUAGCCGACCUGAGAGGGUGAUCGGCCACACUGGAACUGAGACACGGUCCAGACUCCUACGGGAGGCAGCAGUAGGGUAUCUUCCGCAAUGGGCGAAAGCCUGACGGAGCAACGCCGCGUGAGUGAUGAAGGUCUUCGGAUCGUAAAGCUCUGUUAUUAGGGAAGAACAUAUGUGUAAGUAACUGUGCACAUCUUGACGGUACCUAAUCAGAAAGCCACGGCUAACUACGUG
Molecule: ribosomal RNA, 497 nt
Filed under: uncultured bacterium
Lineage: Bacteria
Description: partial 16S ribosomal RNA
Rfam family: Bacterial small subunit ribosomal RNA
Source: RNAcentral